AUGCUUGACGUACAACUUGUAUCUAUAUUAGAAAGGAAAAAAACCAUGAAGAUUUGUCCUGAGCCAAGCUAUCAUUCUGAUAAUCCUCUUCCCUCUGAUUACUGUUGCAACUUCCAGACUGUUUUGGAGAAUUGUAACUGUCAUAUGCCUUUCCCCUCCAACUGGAUGCUGUUUGAGAGAGCACAAAAAAACAUCAGGGAACAUGCUCCUCAUUAAACAGUAUGAACAAUUUGGUUGCAGAGCAAGUCCACAGAGAGUUCAAAUUCUCCCCCUCUAAAGAACCUCCAACUCAGAUUGAAAUAGAUCAAGAAAUGUGAAUGCUUUUGCAGGUAGAACAUGAAGAUAUUUGUACAGAUUGGUGAUGAAACAACCCAAAGUGUCUCAAAGUACAUAUGUAGGAAAGCUGCUCUUAGACACAGAGCAUACAUACUGAACAGGCGCUUAACAAAAAAGGGAAAUUAUGUCCAGAUGGAAACUUUAUAUAAUU
Molecule: long non-coding RNA, 487 nt
Filed under: Numida meleagris (helmeted guineafowl)
Lineage: Eukaryota; Metazoa; Chordata; Aves; Galliformes; Numididae
Description: lncRNA (ENSNMEG00000006509.1)
Source: RNAcentral